RNAcentral lists this transfer RNA (73 nucleotides) under Facklamia lactis. Its description in RNAcentral is "Facklamia sp. DSM 111018 tRNA-Lys". It matches the Rfam family "tRNA". From Rfam's summary of the family: Transfer RNA (tRNA) molecules are approximately 80 nucleotides in length. The record is from RNAcentral. Lineage: Bacteria; Bacillati; Bacillota; Bacilli; Lactobacillales; Aerococcaceae.
GUCUCCUUAGCUUAGUUGGUAGAGCAUCUGACUCUUAAUCAGAGGGUCGUAGGUUCGAAUCCUACAGGGGACA